CUACGGGAGGCUGCAGCUAAGAAUCUUCCGCAAUGGACGAAAGUCUGACGGAGCGACGCCGCGUGAACGAUGAAGGCCGUGAGGUUGUAAAGUUCUUUUCCGAGGGGAGAAUAAGGAUGGCAGGGAAUGGCCGUCUGAUGACGUGAACUCGGGAAUAAGCCCCGGCUAACUACGUGCCAGCAGCCGCGGUAACACGUAGGGGGCGAGCGUUGUUCGGAAUCAUUGGGCGUAAAGGGUGCGCAGGCGGUUAUGCAAGUCUGGUGUGAAAGGUCUCGGCUCAACCGAGGAAACGCGCUGGAAACGGUGUAACUAGAGUACAGGAGGGGGAGUUGGAAUUCCAGGUGUAGGGGUGAAAUCUGUAGAUAUCUGGAAGAACACCGGUGGCGAAGGCGAACUUCUGGCCAUGUACUGACGCUGAGGCACGAAGGCGUGGGGAGCAAACAGGAUUAGAUACCCGCGUAGUC
Molecule: ribosomal RNA, 464 nt
Filed under: uncultured bacterium
Lineage: Bacteria
Description: partial 16S ribosomal RNA
Rfam family: Bacterial small subunit ribosomal RNA
Source: RNAcentral